Molecule: ribosomal RNA, 449 nt
Filed under: uncultured bacterium
Lineage: Bacteria
Description: partial 16S ribosomal RNA
Rfam family: Bacterial small subunit ribosomal RNA
Source: RNAcentral
AACGAACGCUGGCGGCAGGCCUAACACAUGCGAGUCGAACGCUGUAGCAAUACAGAGUGGCAGACGGGUGAGUAACACGUGGGAAUCUUCCUAUCGGUACGGAAUAGCUCAGGGAAACUUGGGGUAAUACCGCAUACGCCCUUCGGGGGAAAGAUUUAUCGCCGAUAGAUGAGCCCGCGUCUGAUUAGCUAGUUGGUGAGGUAAUGGCUCACCAAGGCGACGAUCAGUAGCUGGUCUGAGAGGAUGACCAGCCACACUGGGACUGAGACACGGCCCAGACUCCUACGAGAGGCAGCAGUGGGGAAUAUUGGACAAUGGGCGCAAGCCUGAUCCAGCCAUGCCGCGUGAGUGACGAAGGUCUUCGGAUUGUAAAGCUCUUUUGGCGGGGACGAUAAUGACGGUACCCGCAGAAUAAGCCCCGGCUAACUUCGUGCCAGCCGCCGCAGUAA